GAAGGUAUAGCUUAGUGGUAGAGUGCAUGCCUAGCAUGAACAAGGUCAUGGGUUUAAUCCCAGUACCUCCA
This 71-nucleotide transfer RNA is filed under the name Camelus bactrianus (Bactrian camel). It matches the Rfam family "tRNA". From Rfam's summary of the family: Transfer RNA (tRNA) molecules are approximately 80 nucleotides in length. Their secondary structure includes four short double-helical elements and three loops (D, anti-codon, and T loops). The record is from Rfam by way of RNAcentral. Lineage: Eukaryota; Metazoa; Chordata; Mammalia; Artiodactyla; Camelidae. RNAcentral also lists the same sequence under 1 other name.